RNAcentral lists this ribosomal RNA (611 nucleotides) under Scedosporium boydii. RNAcentral describes it as "eukaryotic LSU rRNA". The stretch from base 214 to 367 matches the Rfam family "5.8S ribosomal RNA". The record is from RNAcentral. Lineage: Eukaryota; Fungi; Ascomycota; Sordariomycetes; Microascales; Microascaceae.
AAAUGAACAAGGUCUCCGUUGGUGAACCAGCGGAGGGAUCAUUACAGAGUUACUACUCCAAACCCAUUGUGAACCUUACCUAUGUUCUGUUGCCUCGGCGGCGUGGUCAGCGCCCCCUCUGAAAAGAGGACGAUGCCCUCCCGCCGGCAGCACCAAACUCUUUGAAUUUUACAGCGGAUUACAGUUCUGAUUUGAAAACAAAAAACAAGUUAAAACUUUCAACAACGGAUCUCUUGGUUCUGGCAUCGAUGAAGAACGCAGCGAAAUGCGAUAAGUAAUGUGAAUUGCAGAAUUCAGUGAAUCAUCGAAUCUUUGAACGCACAUUGCGCCCGGCAGUAAUCUGCCGGGCAUGCCUGUCCGAGCGUCAUUUCAACCCUCGAACCUCCGUUUCCUCAGGGAAGCUCAGGGUCGGUGUUGGGGCGCUACGGCGAGUCUUCGCGACCCUCCGUAGGCCCUGAAAUACAGUGGCGGUCCCGCCGCGGUUGCCUUCUGCGUAGUAAGUCUCUUUUGCAAGCUCGCAUUGGGUCCCGGCGGAGGCCUGCCGUCAAACCACCUAUAACUCCAGAUGGUUUGACCUCGGAUCAGGUAGGGUUACCCGCUGAACUUAAGCA